AGGAUGAACGCUGGCGGCGUGCCUAAUACAUGCAAGUCGAGCGGUAAGGCCACUUCGGUGGUACACGAGCGGCGGACGGCUGAGUAACACGUAGGAACGUACCCCAAAGUGAGGGAUAAGCAUUGGAAACAGUGUCUAAUACCGCAUGUGAUCUUCGGAUUAAAGCUCCGGCGCUUUGGGAACGGCCUGCGCAUGAUUAGCUUGUUGGUGAGGUAAUGGCUCACCAAGGCGACGAUCAUUAGCUGGUCUGAGAGGAUGAUCAGCCAGACUGGGACUGAGAACGGCCCAGACUCCUACGGGAGGCAGCAGUAGGGAAUUUUCCACAAUGGGCGAAAGCCUGAUGGAGCAACGCCGCGUGCAGGAUGAAUGUCUUCGGAUUGUAAACUGCUUUUAUCUGUGACGAAUAUGACGGUAGCAGAUGAAUAAGGAUCGGCUAACUCCGUGCCAGCAGCCGC
RNAcentral lists this ribosomal RNA (455 nucleotides) under uncultured bacterium. RNAcentral describes it as "SSU rRNA". It matches the Rfam family "Bacterial small subunit ribosomal RNA", at positions 26 to 518 of the family's 1533-position model. The record is from RNAcentral.